RNAcentral lists this transfer RNA (94 nucleotides) under Candidatus Omnitrophota bacterium. RNAcentral describes it as "tRNA-Ser". It matches the Rfam family "tRNA". Rfam says of the family: Transfer RNA (tRNA) molecules are approximately 80 nucleotides in length. Their secondary structure includes four short double-helical elements and three loops (D, anti-codon, and T loops). Further hydrogen bonds mediate the characteristic L-shaped molecular structure. tRNAs have two regions of fundamental functional importance: the anti-codon, which is responsible for specific mRNA codon recognition, and the 3' end, to which the tRNAs corresponding amino acid is attached (by aminoacyl-tRNA synthetases). tRNAs cope with the degeneracy of the genetic code in two manners: having more than one tRNA (with a specific anti-codon) for a particular amino acid; and 'wobble' base-pairing, i.e. permitting non-standard base-pairing at the 3rd anti-codon position. The record is from RNAcentral. Lineage: Bacteria; Pseudomonadati; Candidatus Omnitrophota.
GGAGAGGUGCCUGAGUGGCUGAAGGGAGCCGCCUGCUAAGCGGUUGUCCUGCCUAAAAGCGGGACCCUGGGUUCAAAUCCCAGCCUCUCCGCCA